AUGGCAAAGGCAUUCUACAUUAUAGUGGCUGCAGUCUUGCUAUGCCUCUUCUCCGCCGCAACGAUCUUGCUAUCCCCCUUGUCUGCUGCAACUUCCAUGCCACAUGCAUCUUCUUCAUCAUACAAGGAGUACAUCGUGUACAUCCAGAGGCCACCUCCAGAAGCCGAUAUCAUGGACGACGGUGCGCGCAAAAGCUGGUUCCAGUCUUUCCUCCCUAGCAACCUCACUGACUCGGGUAAACCACGCAUGGUCACCACUUUCGAUACCGUAUUUCACGGCUUCGUCGCCUGGUUAACUGAGGCUGAGCUGGAGGUCAUGUCCAAAAAGCCCGGUGUUAGCCGCUGUACCGAGGUUGAAAUGCUGGAAUUGAACCAGGUUGGGAUGAGGAAUAUACUUCAGGGAAGGGCUAUGGGUGGUGAUUGA
Molecule: ribosomal RNA, 423 nt
Filed under: Triticum aestivum (bread wheat)
Lineage: Eukaryota; Viridiplantae; Streptophyta; Magnoliopsida; Poales; Poaceae
Description: partial small subunit ribosomal RNA
Source: RNAcentral